AGGUAACACUGAAUGGAGGACCGAACCGACUUACGUUGAAAAGUGAGCGGAUGAACUGAGGGUAGCGGAGAAAUUCCAAUCGAACCUGGAGAUAGCUGGUUCUCUCCGAAAUAGCUUUAGGGCUAGCCUCAAGUGAUGAUUAUUGGAGGUAGAGCACUGUUUGGACGAGGGGCCCCUCUCGGGUUACCGAAUUCAGACAAACUCCGAAUGCCAAUUAAUUUAACUUGGGAGUCAGAACAUGGGUGAUAAGGUCCGUGUUCGAAAGGGAAACAGCCCAGACCACCAGCUAAGGUCCCAAAAUAUAUGUUAAGUGGAAAAGGAUGUGGCGUUGCCCAGACAACUAGGAUGUUGGCUUAGAAGCAGCCAUCAUUUAAAGAGUGCGUAAUAGCUCACUAGUCGAGUGACACUGCGCCGAAAAUGUACCGGGGCUAAACAUAUUACCGAAGCUGUGGAUUGUCCUUUGGACAAUGGUAGGAGAGCUUUCUAAGGGCGUUGAAGCAUGAUCGUAAGGACAUGUGGAGCGCUUAGAAGUGAGAAUGCCGG
Molecule: ribosomal RNA, 543 nt
Filed under: Staphylococcus aureus
Lineage: Bacteria; Bacillati; Bacillota; Bacilli; Caryophanales; Staphylococcaceae
Description: partial 23S ribosomal RNA
Rfam family: Bacterial large subunit ribosomal RNA
Source: RNAcentral